GGUUAUAUAGCUCAGUGGUAAAGCACUUGCCUAGCAUGCAUGAGGCUCUGGGUUCAAUCCCCAUCACCA
RNAcentral lists this transfer RNA (69 nucleotides) under Ictidomys tridecemlineatus (thirteen-lined ground squirrel). RNAcentral's name for it is "Spermophilus tridecemlineatus (thirteen-lined ground squirrel) tRNA". It matches the Rfam family "tRNA". Rfam says of the family: Transfer RNA (tRNA) molecules are approximately 80 nucleotides in length. Lineage: Eukaryota; Metazoa; Chordata; Mammalia; Rodentia; Sciuridae. The record is from Rfam by way of RNAcentral.